This 253-nucleotide ribosomal RNA is filed under the name uncultured bacterium. RNAcentral's name for it is "partial 16S ribosomal RNA". It matches the Rfam family "Bacterial small subunit ribosomal RNA", at positions 524 to 776 of the family's 1533-position model. The record is from RNAcentral.
UACGGAGGGUGCAAGCGUUAUCCGGAUUCACUGGGUUUAAAGGGUGUGUAGGCGGGUCUAUAAGUCCGUGGUGAAAUCUCCGGGCUCAACCCGGAAACUGCCAUUGAUACUAUAGGUCUUGAAUAUUGUGGAGGUGGGCGGAAUGUGUCAUGUAGCGGUGAAAUGCUUAGAGAUGACACAGAACACCGAUUGCGAAGGCAGCUCACUACGGGAUCAUUGACACUGAGGCACGAAAGCGUGGGGAUCAAACAGG